RNAcentral lists this ribosomal RNA (258 nucleotides) under uncultured bacterium. Its description in RNAcentral is "partial 16S ribosomal RNA". It matches the Rfam family "Bacterial small subunit ribosomal RNA", at positions 793 to 1055 of the family's 1533-position model. The record is from RNAcentral.
GUCCACGCCCUAAACGAUGCUAACUCGAUGUUUGGUUAUUAUGAUUGAGCAUCCAAGCGAAAGCGUUAAGUUAGCCACCUGGGGAGUACGACCGCAAGGUUGAAACUCAAAGGAAUUGACGGGGUCCGCACAAGCGGUGGAGCAUGUGGUUUAAUUCGAUGAUACGCGAGGAACCUUACCUAGGCUAGAAUGUGAGCGCUAUCUGGUGAAAGCCGGAGUUCCUUCGGGACGUGAAACAAGGUGCUGCAUGGUUGUCGU